This 450-nucleotide ribosomal RNA is filed under the name uncultured bacterium. Its description in RNAcentral is "bacterial SSU rRNA". It matches the Rfam family "Bacterial small subunit ribosomal RNA", at positions 354 to 796 of the family's 1533-position model. The record is from RNAcentral.
GUGGGGAAUUUUGGACAAUGGGCGCAAGCCUGAUCCAGCCAUGCCGCGUGUGUGAAGAAGGCCUUCGGGUUGUAAAGCACUUUCGGCCGGGACGAAAUCGCUCGGGUUAACACCCAGGGUGGAUGACGGUACCGGAAGAAGAAGCACCGGCUAACUACGUGCCAGCAGCCGCGGUAAUACGUAGGGUGCAAGCGUUAAUCGGAAUUACUGGGCGUAAAGCGUGCGCAGGCGGUUUUGUAAGCCAGACGUGAAAUCCCCGGGCUUAACCUGGGAACUGCGUUUGGAACUGCAAGGCUAGAGUGCGGCAGAGGAAGGUGGAAUUCCUGGUGUAGCAGUGAAAUGCGUAGAUAUCAGGAGGAACACCGAUGGCGAAGGCAGCCUUCUGGGCUAGCACUGACGCUCAUGCACGAAAGCGUGGGGAGCAAACAGGAUUAGAAACCCUUGUAGUCC